AGAGUUUGAUCCUGGCUCAGAUUGAACGCUGGCGGCAGGCUUAACACAUGCAAGUCGAGCGGGGAGAUGUAGCUUGCUACAUUUCCUAGCGGCGGACGGGUGAGUAAUGCUUAGGAAUCUGCCUAUUAGUGGGGGACAACAUUCCGAAAGGAAUGCUAAUACCGCAUACGCCCUACGGGGGAAAGCAGGGGAUCUUCGGACCUUGCGCUAAUAGAUGAGCCUAAGUCAGAUUAGCUAGUUGGUGGGGUAAAGGCCUACCAAGGCGACGAUCUGUAGCGGG
This 280-nucleotide ribosomal RNA is filed under the name uncultured bacterium. RNAcentral's name for it is "partial 16S ribosomal RNA". It matches the Rfam family "Bacterial small subunit ribosomal RNA", at positions 8 to 290 of the family's 1533-position model. The record is from RNAcentral.